RNAcentral lists this long non-coding RNA (362 nucleotides) under Populus trichocarpa (black cottonwood). RNAcentral's name for it is "long non-coding RNA (PTRI_LNC003319)". The record is from RNAcentral. Lineage: Eukaryota; Viridiplantae; Streptophyta; Magnoliopsida; Malpighiales; Salicaceae.
GCAAGUUAAUAUGUCACAACUUGUGUAAAGAAACUGCCGUAGAAGUUCUGUGUAUACAUACAGAUACAAGUUCGUGCCCAUUUAGCCUGAAAUGAUAUUAUCUGCUCAGUCCAACUAUCUUCUGUCCUAGAAUGAAUGGGGCACUUGGUAAAAGGUGAUGUGUAACAAAUGCUCCGAACAUAUGACACGCGAUGUGUAACAAAUGCUCCGAACAUAUGACACGCAACUAAACAUUCUCUUGCAUUGCUACCCCUUCUAAUUGACUUUUGAUGAACUUCUUGUGAGUGAACGUUACAAAAGACCAUGUGGACAUAACAAACCUACUAAGUUUUUGGGGAAAUUGGACAGGAUUCUAAUGCACC